This 1877-nucleotide long non-coding RNA is filed under the name Zea mays. Its description in RNAcentral is "long non-coding RNA (ZMAY_LNC003198)". Lineage: Eukaryota; Viridiplantae; Streptophyta; Magnoliopsida; Poales; Poaceae. The record is from RNAcentral.
AGAUUCCAGGUACCAGAAUGAUUCUUCAGAUCCUCGUGACCUUACUGCUAGUCGUAGCAAUACAAACAGACAUGGUAUAGACAAAAUUAACAUCACACCAAACAUAAGAACAUACUGCAUAAUAAUGAUCUACGCGUUGCUACGAGAUCGUGGGAACGAGAACCACUAAAAUCGAAGUUACGUUAAGGAGUUAUAAUUUUAUAGAAGAUUUAUGUGAUUAAAAUAUUAAACUAUAUUAUAAAUUAGUUAAUAUAAAUCAUAUAAGAGCUUAUUCUAUAUAUAAUUAUCUCUACUUUAAUCUAAGUUAUAAAUUGACCAUAGAUCAUAUUCUAGUAGAUUAUAAUGAUAAGCAAUUUAACCAGACUAACCAACAUAAAUUAAAUACUUAUCUAAUUAUAAAAUAAUGAGACAUGGUAUAGUAAAUGUUGUUAUCGCAUAGUAAAUAUUUGUACGAGACUAACACAACUUGAAUGGAUCAAAUCAGAGUUAUAGAUUUUAAGUUAUGAAUUUCUAAAGAUUCUAUGUGUUUUGUACAAGAUUAAAUAGGAUAUAAAUUUUAAUGUGACUUUCAUGUCAAAACAGUGGCACUAAUUGAUAAACAAUAAUAUUAUAAAAUUAUAGGAACUAGAAUGAAUUAAUUUGGAGCUACAAUGGAUUUUCUAUGAAUUAAAUAAGUUUCUGGAAUUAUUUUAACACAAAAAAUCAUUUUCUGAUUGAAUUUCUGAAUUUUCAUAUGAUUCUUGACUACACGCCAAUUCCCAGAGAAGACAGGGGCCACGGUGUAAAAUGUUCUAAGGCUCAGUCUAAGUGUAGAGUGGGCUGUGGGUUAAUUAUCGAAGACUUGAGGGGCUCAUACGAAAAAGACGCACGACGAAGGGGUACAGUUAUAUCCUUGCUGUUGGAUCACCGAUCUACGGAUCAGAUUAGAUCCAAACCUUUCUGAACCGGUACACUAUCCUAUCCGCGGGAUCCGACAACAAGGGCCAGGAUUAAACGACGCUCCUUACGAAUCGGUGCAGAGACCCAGCCGUCGGAUCAGAGAACCACGACCCAGAUCGCGAAGUAUCCCGGCUGGUUCUUAACGGUCCGAUCUAGAUUGAGGGUCCGGAUUUAAACACCGAAGGGGUAAGACUCAUUCUAAUCUCCACCUCUCACUCACAAUUCGACGACGCGCCUAUGUUCUUCCACCACGCGAUGACCAGAGAAGGUGUAGCAGAUGCCCGUGGCGGCUCUCCACCAGCGUGCGGCGAAUCCGGCGACCCGGUACCCGAAUCCUAUGGACGAUGGGCGUUAUACACUAGAUAGAACAAGGCGAUCGUCAUGGAAGGUAGCUCACCAAUGAUGGCAUCCGGCAGAGUCCCGUCGUCGAGGAAGGAUGGCCAUGGCGGAAAUCCCCAGCUCUGGCGAACAAUUCACAUCUUGCCCGCUAUACACCGUGACCUCCACCACCACACACACGCUCGAUUUGAUCCCGCGAAGCUUCAAAGCCAUCUGCCGGUGCUGGAGCGACAACGCUCAAUGAUUUCGCCCGUGGCGGAUCAAUGAUGGCGGCUGCACUCUCCCCUCUGUCCCGCUACACAGGGCGUCUUGGUGGUUCUCAACUCGACUUCGUGGCUGCGCUGGUUUCGCGGGGCCGCAACGGAGAGGUGGUUGUGGAUUAUAUGCAGGUGAGGGCCAAUGACCGAGUCGGCUGGGUCAAGCAACCCGAUCGAUCUGUUAUAGGGAGAAGAAGGUCUGAUGAAGUGGUCCAAGGUGUCAACGACCCGGGUGGAGAAGAGCGCGCGCCACAUGAUUGACGGGCGGGCUCCACCCGUUCGGCACACCGAUGUGGCAGGAUCGACGGAAUUGAGUUGGGCUCGGUGGCAACUGGCUAGGCC